Molecule: long non-coding RNA, 1574 nt
Filed under: Rhinopithecus bieti (black snub-nosed monkey)
Lineage: Eukaryota; Metazoa; Chordata; Mammalia; Primates; Cercopithecidae
Description: lncRNA (ENSRBIG00000045672.1)
Source: RNAcentral
CCCCUUGCAAGACCACUGCCAAUGCUUUCUGGGGCUACCCAUAUUGUCGUCUAAACUGCUCUGAGACCCACCAGGCACAAAGCCAGGCAGCUUGGAAAUUCGCUGGAUAGGCAUGGCUGCCUCUGACCCCAGCUGCCUUGAUCUGCCCUUAACACGUACUCUACAUGCCAAAGACCCAGGGAACCCGAGGCAGGGAGAAUACAUUCAGAAAGAGAAAUUCACCAUUCCAGGGAGUAACCCUUUACCAAUAGAUUGUAGAUAAGCACUUGCCUGGAGAAGAGAAAGGAGGGCAGAAGGAAGUGGGAGGAAGGAGUUAGUCAUAUUUUAAUAUUCUAAGACUUGGCAUCUAACAUGAGCCCUGCAAACCAAGGAGGCAGCAGGGUAGAGUGGGCCUCUGUGGUGUUACCACAAGUGCACCCAGCAGAGAAAAUAGCAAUAUACUGCAAACAUUCCCUGAGGGGUUCAAGAAGGUGACACCCUACUCUGACCCAGCCAUGGAGAGAUGCUUUUCUAAAACCAUGUGUAAGAAAGAGCAAAGGGUUGGGCGGGGAUGGGGGGCAGUAGGGCGGGGGUAUGUGGGAAGAGAGGGCUGGAUUGUUUAAUGCACCGUUAUUGAAGGAAUUUCCACUCGGGUACGUAUGUGCUGUAGACUUUCUGAACAUCACAUCUCACUCAAUAAAAGUGCACGCCAACACCACGUGCUCUGUUUAUGUCUCUCCCUAUCCAGUGCACUGGAUGGAUGGAUGAAGGCACUCUCCCAGGCUUCCAACUCUCGCAAGCUUUCCAUCUUCAUAGGGAAAGGAGACUCACUGGUAAGCAGCGAGAAUGUUCAACUAAGUCCUGGAUCGUACUGUACAUGGUCUGACUCUUGUAUGAGCAGAGACGAGCCACUGUGGCCUGGAGGAGCUUGUGGAAGCCUUCAUGGAAAGGACUGGGAAGGGCUUGAGGGACAGGAACAUAUUGUGAAACCAGAAAGCAUGAACUAAAGCCAGGGAGGAAAAAUUGCUGUCUGGACAGAUGCACACAUGACCAAGCCCGCUGGUGGUUGGUAGCCAGUUCCUCUGGGUUUUGGGGGCCUCUCUAGCCACAUGCUCCUCUUAGCGGGGCCAGGCCAAAAUUUCCACAAACAUUUCCAUCCUGAAUUCAGCCAGGUUGGGAUAUUUCAUUCUACCAAAAAGAGGAGCCAGAAACUUUGACCUGAAUGCAUAAAACUAAGGUGGAAAAACAAUGUUUGAAAUUUUUCUUCAGAAAAGGAAAGCCCCACCAAUAAUCUGGAAAUUCUUCAUAGGGCAGCAAUUUAAACCAGCAGCUUAAAACUCCUUGACAGAGAGGAAAAACUCUGUGAAGCACCUUCCAGAACUUCGAUCAUGAUCCUCUUGUUCCUGGGAGAAAGAGAGCCCGAGACAUGGCUUUGCUGCCUUGGGUCUUUAAGAAUUUGGGUCUGCCUCCAGUGUCUGAUGCUACAGCCAAGCCUCGGCCCUUCUCUUCCAAUGCACCCGCAGUAACACUGAUCCCAGUGCAUUCCUGCCAUUCUUCUGCCUUGCAGCAAGCUUCAGGUCAGAGGAGUUGCAAGA